RNAcentral lists this ribosomal RNA (274 nucleotides) under uncultured bacterium. RNAcentral describes it as "partial 16S ribosomal RNA". It matches the Rfam family "Bacterial small subunit ribosomal RNA", at positions 523 to 796 of the family's 1533-position model. The record is from RNAcentral.
AUACGGAGGGGGUUAGCGUUGUUCGGAAUUACUGGGCGUAAAGCGCACGUAGGCGGACUGGAAAGUUGGGGGUGAAAUCCCGGGGCUCAACCCCGGAACUGCCUCCAAAACUUCCAAUCUAGAGAUCGAGAGAGGUGAGUGGAAUUCCAAGUGUAGAGGUGAAAUUCGUAGAUAUUAGGAGGAACACCAGUGGCGAAGGCGGCUCACUGGCUCGAUACUGACGCUGAGGUGCGAAAGCGUGGGGAGCAAACAGGAUUAGAGACCCUAGUAGUCC